MicroRNA precursor from Cercocebus atys (sooty mangabey), 68 nucleotides. NCBI's taxonomy places the organism in Eukaryota, Metazoa, Chordata, Mammalia, Primates, Cercopithecidae. The record is from Ensembl.
UAGAGAUGGGGUUUCACCAUGUUGGUCAGGCUGGUCUCAAACUCCUGACCUCAGGUGAUCCACCCACC